UGAGGAAUAUUGGUCAAUGGGCGGGAGCCUGAACCAGCCAAGCCGCGUGAGGGAGGAAGGCCCUAUGGGUCGUAAACCUCUUUUGUCAGGGAACAAAAGCGAGUAUGUAUACUAGUCUGAGUGUACCUGAAGAAAAAGCAUCGGCUAACUCCGUGCCAGCAGCCGCGGUAAUACGGAGGAUGCGAGCGUUAUCCGGAUUUAUUGGGUUUAAAGGGUGCGUAGGCGGCGGUGCAAGUCAGCGGUAAAAGCCCGGGGCUCAACCCCGGCGAGCCGUUGAAACUGCAGUGCUAGAGAAGGCGAGAGGUACGCGGAAUGCGCAGUGUAGCGGUGAAAUGCUUAGAUAUUGCGCAGAACUCCGAUUGCGAAGGCAGCGUACUGGCGCCUGACUGACGCUGAGGCACGAAAAGCGUGGGUAUCGAACAGGAUUAGAUACC
RNAcentral lists this ribosomal RNA (434 nucleotides) under uncultured bacterium. RNAcentral describes it as "bacterial SSU rRNA". It matches the Rfam family "Bacterial small subunit ribosomal RNA", at positions 355 to 786 of the family's 1533-position model. The record is from RNAcentral.